GACGAACGCUGGCGGCGUGCUUAACACAUGCAAGUCGAACGGAAAGGCCCUGCUUUUGUGGGGUGCUCGAGUGGCGAACGGGUGAGUAACACGUGAGUAACCUGCCCUUGACUUUGGGAUAACUUCAGGAAACUGGGGCUAAUACCGGAUAGGAGCUCCUGCUGCAUGGUGGGGGUUGGAAAGUUUCGGCGGUUGGGGAUGGACUCGCGGCUUAUCAGCUUGUUGGUGGGGUAGUGGCUUACCAAGGCUUUGACGGGUAGCCGGCCUGAGAGGGUGACCGGACACAUUGGGACUGAGAUACGGCCCAGACUCCAACGGGAGGCAGGAGUGGGGAAUAGUGCACAAUGGGCGGAAGCCUAAUGCAGCAAAGCCGCGUGCGGGAUGACGGCCUUCGGGUUGUAAACCGCUUUCGCCUGUGACGAAGCGUGAGUGACGGUAAUGGGUAAAGAAGCACCGGCUAACUACGUG
This 468-nucleotide ribosomal RNA is filed under the name uncultured bacterium. RNAcentral's name for it is "partial 16S ribosomal RNA". It matches the Rfam family "Bacterial small subunit ribosomal RNA", at positions 28 to 507 of the family's 1533-position model. The record is from RNAcentral.